RNAcentral lists this ribosomal RNA (249 nucleotides) under uncultured bacterium. RNAcentral's name for it is "partial 16S ribosomal RNA". It matches the Rfam family "Bacterial small subunit ribosomal RNA", at positions 524 to 772 of the family's 1533-position model. The record is from RNAcentral.
GACAGAGGGUGCAAACGUUGUUCGGAAUUACUGGGCGUAAAGCGCGUGUAGGCGGCCAUCUAAGUCGGGCGUGAAAUCCCACGGCUCAACCGUGGAAGUGCACUCGAAACUGGAUGGCUAGAGUCCUGGAGAGGAAGGUGGAAUGCUUGGUGUAGAGGUGAAAUUCGUAGAUAUCAAGCGGAACACCGGUGGCGAAGGCGGCCUUCUGGACAGUGACUGACGCUGAGACGCGAAAGCGUGGGGAGCAAC